CCCUUAGAUGUUCUGGGCCGCACGCGCGCUACACUGAUGAACGCAACGAGACGACCUGUACCGAAAGGCAUGGGUAAACUUGUGAAAGUUCAUCGUGAUGGGGAUAGAUUAUUGCAAUUAUUAAUCUUCAACGAGGAAUUCCUAGUAAGCGCGAGUCAUCAGCUCGCGUUGAUUACGUCCCUGCCCUUUGUACACACCGCCCGUCGCCCCUACCGAUUGAAUGGUCCGGUGAAAUCUUCGGAUUGCUGGAUAGGAGGGCAACCACCUAUCUGCGAGAAGUUGCUUGAACCUUAUCAUUUAGAGGAAGGAGAAGUCGUAACA
Molecule: ribosomal RNA, 321 nt
Filed under: uncultured eukaryote
Lineage: Eukaryota
Description: partial 18S ribosomal RNA
Rfam family: Eukaryotic small subunit ribosomal RNA
Source: RNAcentral